AACGAACGCUGGCGGCAUGCCUAACACAUGCAAGUCGAACGAGACCUUCGGGUCUAGUGGCGCACGGGUGCGUAACGCGUGGGAACCUGCCCUUAGGUUCGGAAUAACUCCCCGAAAGGGGUGCUAAUACCGGAUAAUGUCUUCGGACCAAAGAUUUAUCGCCUUUGGAUGAGCCCGCGUUGGAUUAGCUAGUUGGUAGGGUAAAAGCCUACCAAGGCGACGAUCCAUAGCUGGUCUGAGAGGAUGAUCAGCCACACUGGGACUGAGACACGGCCCAGAAUCCUACGGGAGGCAGCAGUGGGGAAUAUUGGACAAUGGGCGAAAGCCUGAUCCAGCAAUGCCGCGUGAGUGAUGAAGGCCUUAGGGUUGUAAAGCUCUUUUACCCGGGAUGAUAAUGACAGUACCGGGAGAAUAAGCGCCGGCUAACUCCGUG
RNAcentral lists this ribosomal RNA (433 nucleotides) under uncultured bacterium. RNAcentral describes it as "partial 16S ribosomal RNA". It matches the Rfam family "Bacterial small subunit ribosomal RNA", at positions 29 to 507 of the family's 1533-position model. The record is from RNAcentral.